This 253-nucleotide ribosomal RNA is filed under the name uncultured bacterium. Its description in RNAcentral is "partial 16S ribosomal RNA". It matches the Rfam family "Bacterial small subunit ribosomal RNA", at positions 524 to 776 of the family's 1533-position model. The record is from RNAcentral.
UACAGAGGGUGCGAGCGUUAAUCGGAAUUACUGGGCGUAAAGCGUGCGUAGACGGUUAUCUAAGUCAGAUGUGAAAUCCCCGGGCUUAACCUGGGAACUGCGUUUGAAACUGGAAGGCUUGAGUGUGGCAGAGGGGGGUGGAAUUCCACGUGUAGCAGUGAAAUGCGUAGAGAUGUGGAGGAACACCGAUGGCGAAGGCAGCCCCCUGGGCUAACACUGACGCUCAUGCACGAAAGCGUGGGGAGCAAACAGG